UACGUAGGCAGCGAGCGUUGUUCGGAGUUACUGGGCGUAAAGGGUGUGUAGGCGGUUGUUUAAGUUUGGUGUGAAAUCUUCCGGCUCAACUGGGAGGGUGCGCCGAAUACUGAAUGACUUCGAGUGCGGGAGAGGAAAGUGGAAUUCCUGGUGUAGCGGUGAAAUGCGUAGAUAUCAGGAGGAACACCGGUGGUGU
RNAcentral lists this ribosomal RNA (196 nucleotides) under uncultured prokaryote. RNAcentral describes it as "partial 16S ribosomal RNA". It matches the Rfam family "Bacterial small subunit ribosomal RNA", at positions 524 to 718 of the family's 1533-position model. The record is from RNAcentral.